GCUUUUAAUGGAAAAGAGCUUUCCUCUGGUUUUAGGGGCCAGCUAAUCUUGGUGCAAGUCCAAGUAAAAGCU
This 72-nucleotide transfer RNA is filed under the name Limnonectes fujianensis (Fujian large-headed frog). RNAcentral describes it as "tRNA-Leu". The record is from RNAcentral. Lineage: Eukaryota; Metazoa; Chordata; Amphibia; Anura; Dicroglossidae.